Molecule: long non-coding RNA, 3763 nt
Organism: Canis lupus familiaris (dog)
Lineage: Eukaryota; Metazoa; Chordata; Mammalia; Carnivora; Canidae
Exons: 3
Source: RefSeq, a predicted model, not a curated record
GGAUAGCACAAACAAAAACACAACACUCACCCAACUGGAGCCAGUGUUUUGGAACAUGGUAAAAAGCAAAUUGCCAACCACUGGGGAAUCGCCAUCCAUUUCAUUAUUUUUGUCAGUGUGGGUCACUGUGUUCUCCGCAACUCAGUAUUUAUACUGCACAAAGCAGUUGCUCCGAAGCUGCUUGGACAGCAGGCUCUCUGCUAUUUGAUAAUUUCCCAGACUUGUGCAGCUGGGGUUUUGUGAUGGCAGCCCUUUAUAGCAGGGUCUCUUCGGGCCACUCCUUUCCAACAGCCCUGCUUCUUUCUCCUGGGGCAAUCCACCCUUCCCAACCGCUCUCUCUCUCAUUACCUACUUCUACGCCCCGCCCCCCCCCCCCCCCCCAGUCGCACUUUUAAUGCAAUCCUUCACCACCACUCCUGCCAGAAACCCCAUGCAAAGAAAAAGGCCUCACUUCUAAAGAGACAAGUUAAGACAGAGGAGAAUAGCAACAGAUUCACACUUCAAAUGAAUAAAGCAAAUGCCUGAACUGAGGAGGUAUUGUAAAGAAGGAACAUUCUUAAGCCGAAAAGAACUUGGUGGCAGAGGAAUUCUUCAUAGAAAAAGAAAUGUAUUUUUACUCUUGUUGAUCCAACCAAUGGAAAUACGUCAUUAGUGGAAGUAAUUUAGACUGAAUUUUGAAAACUACUUUUGCCUAAGAGAAGGGAGGGGACGGAGAUGGUAUUAGUUAUUUUUUAUUUUAAUUCCAGCAUAGUUUACAGUGAUAUAUUAGUUUCAGGUGUACAAUAUAGUGAUUUAGCAAUUCUACGCAUCACCCAGUCCUCAUCAGGAUACAUACGUGUACUCUUAAUAUCUAUCACUUUAAUAUCUAUUCACUCAUCUUCCCCACCUACCUCACCUGGUGUUAGUUAUUGAUCCAUUACUCACUUUUUUAGUAUAGUGUUUAUGGAAACAGAUAAAAGCCCCAGGGAUUCCAGAAAUGAAAUCAACAAUGUGAGCCUAGUCUUCAAUGAGCACAUUUCAUUUGCAUCAAAAGGAGAUGACUAUGAAAUCAUAAAUCUGAUUUCCUCGUUGAGCAAUGGCUCAGAGAUUUGAAAGAGAGGAUUUGAUUUCUACAUCUAUGUCUAGAGGAUAAUAUUUCUCGUACUGAUAAAAUAUUCUAAUUGCCUUGGCUUAAUCAUAAGAGAGUGUUAAUGUAUGCAAAAAUUCCCAGAUACACUUGAAUAAAGAUAAAAGUAUAAUUAAGUACCAUUAAACAUUUUUAGACUUCAAUGGGAAACAAAAAAGAGAAUAAUACAAGCGAGACAAAGCCCAGAAGGUGAAAGCAUGUUACACCAACACUCCCCCACCAGCCCCUCUGUCCCAGCUUGCCUUUGGAGAUACGUCCUGUCAUUCCAUUUACCUCCUUGUGCACAGCCUGCCUCUUUGUAGCUUAGGAAAAAGCAGCCCAGAGUUGCCAUGAGGAUGAUGUGUUAUGUCACUCGGGACUCAGAAUAGCUUCAUGGCAGCUUUAUGGCAAUAAUUCACUGUGGGACAAAGAGUAUCCAGCAGGAUCUGCUGGCUGUCAUGGCUAAUUUCCCUAUGUAUGAUGUGAUCUCUUUCCCUAAAGAACACAAGAAGACUUUAUCGGACUCAAGGCUCUGAGGCUAGGUUUCAUCCAAGUUCCUCUUGAUUGGCCAAAGCCAUCAUUUGCCAAGAGGUGGAAUGGACAUCUGUUGUUGACUGAUUAAACAUAAGGACCAAGACAGAGGCAUCAAGGAUAAGUGACUGUCCAGUUUCUAUGUGGAAAGGCUGGGUAGCUGGUAUUUGCCACAGCUGGUACUGAAAUGGAGAAGAGCUGAAGGAGAAGCAGGUAAAAGCAGGAUCCAGAGAUGAAGUCUGAACAUGUUAAAAAGAAGAUGCCUGGGAGAUAUCUCAGUGGAAAUGUGAAGCAGGUAACUAGACAGAUACACAGACCUCAAAUGAGCUUGGGUUAGAGAAUAAACCCAUUCAAACGCUAGAGUUUUCUUUGUUAUUUCCCAAGGUCCCAUGUGGGGUAACUCUAAUUUAAAAGAAGGUAAUGGGGGAUCCCUGGGUGGCUCAGCGGUUUGGUGCCUGCCUUCGGCCCAGGGCAUGAUCCUGGAGACCCGGGAUCGAGUCCCGCAUUGGGCUCCCAGCAUGGGGCCUGCUUCUCCCUCUGCCUGUGUCUUUGCCUCUCUCUCUCUCUCUCUCUCUGUGUGUGUGUGUGUCUUAUGAAUAAAUAGAUAAAAUCUUUAAAAAAAAAUAAAAGAAGGUAAUGUAUAUAUUCAGGCCGAUUUUCCACCACUGAUUCUGCUUUGGUUACCUGGUGCAAUGCACCAUCUGUUCCCUGCCUUCUUAGAUGCAGCCUCAAACCCUUACAGACUGCUAACUAUAUAGCAACCUGCUCAGUUCUUGAAUCAGCCAGAUGAGGUAGGUACCAUGACGUCCCCUCUUUCUUAAAUGGAGAAAGAGAAGCACAGAGACGUGAAAACUUGCCCAAAGUCAUGCAGGUGGUAAGUGCCUUCGUCAGAAUUUGAGAUUCAGGCAAUUUGGCUUUCACCUACCACAUGUUAAGUCUUACUGCCUCUCAAACCUCUGAGAUAGUGUCCAUGGCUUCUUUUAUUCCACACUAAAUACUCCUGGUUCCUCACUUGAACUGGUGCCUGGAUCCCUUAUUCACUUUAUUUUUGUCACAUGAACUGGUUUCUAGACACCCCCCAUUAGUUUUAUUUUCCUGCUCUUGAACCACUGAAGUUUGCUGGCAUGGACCAUGUAUAUGAAUGAGUCUUCUCUUCUAGACGAAGGGCAGGAAGCAGGCCCUGUGUUUAUUCUUUCCGAGUCCUUUACAAAGCUGCCAAGUGUGCGCACACAAGGUAAGCCCUCAAAUAAGGACAGGGCCAAACCGAGUCAGGAUAAUAGGUCUGCCCCUGUGGAUAAGAAGAGUUGGCUGGGAAUAUAUUUCUAUCUGUCACAGCCCUAAUUAAGGGGAAAGACCUUAUCGUGUGGCUAGAGAUGUCAACAUCAUGAAUUGGCUAAUUGUUCCCUCUUGCUGCAGACCUUCUCCAGUGUUGUCUCCAGGUCAGGGCAUGGAAGCUGGAGGGCACCUUGGCUGCACCACGGGACAUGACUAUGUGUACCGCACAGCUGUUCUGGGGCCGGACCACCUCUCACAAGGUCAAGAAAAAAUUGAUCCAGGAAGGGAGACUACCCAGAAGACAACACAGUGGCCCAGUGUCUAUAUCCAGACCCAGUGGCUUUGGUUAUAGAAGUGAAGUGGACCAAAUACGGGUCCUUACUGAACCUAAAGGCUAAAAUUGUAAACGUAACUGCAAGUCUCAUUUCAUCCCCCUUUCCUGAGACUGACUCAGGAAAUGAGAGGACGGUUCUUAUUUCCACUGCGGUUACUUUUGUGGAUGUGUCUGCACCUGCGAAGGCAGGCUUCAGAGCUCUGCCAACCAUCAAUGCCAGGCUGCCGUUUAAUUUCUUCUUUCCAUUUGUUUGACAAUGCUCACAUGAAAGGAUGCACUGGUUCCUCAUACAUGCAAAAUGUGGGAAGUACGUCUGAUGAGAUUUAAUUUUAUAUACAACUAGAAAAAAAAAUGCCUGGCCUGUGCAUCAGGCAUAUCUCUAUUUGGGAAAUACAGGCCUCAGAUGAUCUAACCUAUGAAAGAAACUGGGAAUAUGUGCUGCCUCUGAGGAAGUGGCUGAGGACAAGGGGCCAGGCCUAGGAAGAGAGGCUGACCUUUUUCACUAAAUGCCAUUUUGC